This 525-nucleotide ribosomal RNA is filed under the name Malassezia sympodialis. RNAcentral's name for it is "SSU rRNA". It matches the Rfam family "Eukaryotic small subunit ribosomal RNA", at positions 594 to 1133 of the family's 1831-position model. The record is from RNAcentral. Lineage: Eukaryota; Fungi; Basidiomycota; Malasseziomycetes; Malasseziales; Malasseziaceae.
AUAGCGUAUAUUAAAGUUGUUGCAGUUAAAAAGCUCGUAGUUGGACCUUGGGCCUGGACAGGCGGUCCGCCUCACGGCGUGUACUGUCUUGCUGGGCCUUUCCUCUUGGUGAUCUGUGGUUUCGGCCGCAGGGAACCAGGACCUUUACUUUGAAAAAAUUAGAGUGUUCAAAGCAGGCUUUACGCCAGAAUAUAUUAGCAUGGAAUAAUAAAAUAGGACGUGCGGUUCUAUUUUGUUGGUUUUUGGGAUCGCCGUAAUGAUUAAUAGGGACAGUCGGGGGCAUUAGUACUCACAUGCUAGAGGUGAAAUUCUUGGAUUUUGUGAAGACUAACUUCUGCGAAAGCAUUUGCCAAGGAUGUUUUCAUUAAUCAAGAACGAAGGUUAGGGUAUCGAAAACGAUUAGAUACCGUUGUAGUCUUAACAGUAAACUAUGCCGACUAGGGAUCGGUCGAUGUUAUUUUCUUGACUCGAUCGGCACCUUACGAGAAAUCAAAGUUUUUGGGUUCUGGGGGGAGUAUGGUCGCA